UUAUCACUAUGAUGAUGCAUAGUUCAGUUGACUAUUGCAGAAUGAUAACAAAUCUUAACUAUCUUUGAAAUUGGUCUUUCACCCCUAGCUGAAAAGAUUU
Molecule: small nucleolar RNA, 100 nt
Organism: Sabethes cyaneus
Lineage: Eukaryota; Metazoa; Arthropoda; Insecta; Diptera; Culicidae
Product: small nucleolar RNA snR60/Z15/Z230/Z193/J17
Exons: 1
Source: RefSeq, a predicted model, not a curated record